This 235-nucleotide ribosomal RNA is filed under the name Spirochaetota bacterium. RNAcentral's name for it is "Spirochaetes bacterium partial 16S rRNA". It matches the Rfam family "Bacterial small subunit ribosomal RNA", at positions 152 to 395 of the family's 1533-position model. The record is from RNAcentral. Lineage: Bacteria; Pseudomonadati; Spirochaetota.
UGUAAUGGCGAUUAAUACCGGAUACGAGGAAACUUGAAAGGUGCGUUAGCAUCGCUGAGGAAUGGGACUAACUCCUAUUAGCUUGUUGGUGAGGUAAUGGCUCACCAAGGCCAUGAUAGGUAGCCGGCCUGAGAGGGUGACCGGCCACAUUGGGACUGAGAUACGGCCCAGACUCCUACGGGAGGCAGCAGCUGAGAAUAUUCCGCAAUGGAGGCAACUCUGACGGAGCAAUCUC